RNAcentral lists this unclassified non-coding RNA (274 nucleotides) under plant metagenome. Its description in RNAcentral is "partial contains small subunit ribosomal RNA and internal transcribed spacer 1". The stretch from base 1 to 46 matches the Rfam family "Eukaryotic small subunit ribosomal RNA", at positions 1786 to 1831 of the family's 1831-position model. The record is from RNAcentral.
AAGUCGUAACAAGGUUUCCGUAGGUGAACCUGCGGAAGGAUCAUUACAAAUAAAGCUGGUAGGAAGUGGGGUCUUGAUCUGUAAGUGGUAGAGCAGAACAGUCCGGCUCGCCUACCCGAAAUGUCUUACAUCGUCCCCCACAGCCUGAAGGGCCCGAAUUACAACCCUUGAUUAUCUACACUUGCUGCUUUUGGGGGUGCUCAGGUGCCCCCAGAGGACCCCAAACUCUCUUGCAUUAUAGUGACGUCUGAGUACUAUAAUAAUAAUUUAAAAU